Long non-coding RNA from Camelus dromedarius (Arabian camel), 1086 nucleotides. RefSeq lists it as uncharacterized. Lineage: Eukaryota; Metazoa; Chordata; Mammalia; Artiodactyla; Camelidae. The record is from RefSeq and is a predicted model, not a curated record. The transcript has 3 exons.
AGCAGCUUCUAUUUUUGGCCAAAGCCAAAGGGAGUGACUGUACUGAGAUGUCGGGCCCUGUGGGCAGGAGGAGGGUAGGCGGGGACAGCCUCUGCCCCUCCAGCUCCCUCUGAGGCAGAAAGCAGGGAGGAGGCAUCGCACCCCAGGGUCCGGCACCAGCUGCCCAAACCCUCAUCCCCAAGUGGGCGCAGGGGAGGCGGCAAGGCAUUCUGGCUCGGGGUUUGGACUGCGUCCCAUGCUUGCUGGAACCACCAGAAGCACCGGGGUUGGCCCAGGACCUCGCGGGCGCCAAGCACGUGCUCUGCCACGAGGCGUGAUCUUUUAUUUUCCAUCCUGUGGAGUCGAUGCCUCACUUGCAGGUGAUGCCCUUAAAGCCCAGAAAGGUGAUCUGUCCAAGGCUCGGGAUCCCUGGUCUAUGGUGUGCUUCCUGCUCGGACGUCUGACAGCCCGGCACCCACCACGGAAGACAGCAACGUUCCCUGGACCUCCACCCAGCCUCCCUGCCGAGCUGUCCGCCCUCUUCUCCUGUCUCAGCCAUCGGCUCCGAAGGAGCUGGUGUUCCCAGUGUUCUCUGAGCCUGUCACGGCCCAGAGGGCCUCACCUGGCCUCCUUGGACCCACCCUGGAGUCAUGGGUGGACUUCCGGGAGACCCGGUGCCCCACAAGGAUGCUUCUGGAACUUGUAUUGUGUGCUUAUGUGAGUCUGUCUGGGGUAAGAAUCCAAAGUUUUCAUCAGCUCCUCAAAGAAGUCAGUGGUGUCCCCGACCCCCCCAAAAGCUUCCAAGUUAAUUUCAUAGCCUUCUCCCUCCCCCAAACGUCCCCUCCACUCCUCCUGACCUGCGUAAUGCUGUGCUUCAUAACUCCUCUCCAGGGCUUAACACAAAGCCAACCACUGACACUGGGACUUCACAGCGCUCCCUUCCCACGACAGUAUAACUGUCCUCCUCUUUCCAAGUAUUCAUUCAAGCAGGGAGAAGCCAGAGGAUUCCCAGGGCGGCCUUCACAGAUGCAGCUGGUAUGUGAUAAGCUGGUCCCGCUGGCAGCACAGUCGUCUGCAAACCUAGUCAUCCCCGCAGGGCUGACUUAA